UAAGCUUUAUAUAUCAAAAAGCGAUAAAAUCAUAUUCUAUUUAUACAUGCAACAGUUGUAAAAUAUGAAUAAAAUUGAAAAGUUUGUUUAUAAUAUAAUUAUCCUUCUUUCCCUAUUUCUUGUUUCAACAAGCUCUCAAGGUAAAUAAUUUUAUCUCCUUUGCAAAUUUCCUUCCAUUCUUCCUACACAAUAUUUUAUCUCAUUUUAAUAAUAUUAAUUUUUGUUUCUCUUUUUAGAUAUUCGAUGUGUCUUACCAAAACGAAAAAAUAUUCAUUGUCUUCGUAAAGGUGAUUGUCCAUACAAUUUUUGCCCAUAUCCUACAAACACAAAGUGUAUUAAUGGUUUUUGUCAUUGUAGUAAUUAAUUAAUUAAAUAUAAAGCUCUAUAGGUACCUAUGAGUUGUAAUGUAGUUAUUGUGGUAACUAAUAAUUUAAUUUUCUUUUAACUUUUAAAAUUUCAUGAACCUUUUUUGUACUAUAAUAUGAUGCAACAGAAAUGAAAUAACGCAUCAAAGAAUAUUAUUUAUACUCUCGUGUCCAUUUGUCCCUUUUUUUAAUGAAAGAUAGUUGUUGACUAGCAACUGCACUAGUUUAUCGUUCAAGUAGUAAUAAAGAUCGAACCUCGAGGAUUGUGUUAACUAAUACAAUGGCAAAUCGAAUCAUUCUUAGUUAUAAAUACAAAGAUUGGGGGUGUUGCAUAUCACAAUCUUUCAACCACAAAUCAAUUAAAAGCAAAUGAACGUUUUGUUCAAAUUUGAGAAAGUUGCAUUGGAUUUCCUUUGGAUUCUUCAAUUACACGGAAUUGUAACUUUUGUACGUAAAUGAAUCAUUGAAAUCCAAUGUGCA
RNAcentral lists this long non-coding RNA (845 nucleotides) under Trifolium pratense (red clover). RNAcentral describes it as "long non-coding RNA (TPRA_LNC012124)". Lineage: Eukaryota; Viridiplantae; Streptophyta; Magnoliopsida; Fabales; Fabaceae. The record is from RNAcentral.